UUGCAGAUAUUGUACCAGCCUUCCAUCCCUGGAAUGAAUCCCACUUGGUCACGGUGUAUGAUCUUCUUGAUGUGAUGCUGAAUUGAUUUG
Molecule: long non-coding RNA, 90 nt
Organism: Myotis davidii
Lineage: Eukaryota; Metazoa; Chordata; Mammalia; Chiroptera; Vespertilionidae
Exons: 3
Source: RefSeq, a predicted model, not a curated record